GAUGAACGCUGGCGGCGUGCCUAAUACAUGCAAGUCGAGCGAACGGACGAGAAGCUUGCUUCUCUGAUGUUAGCGGCGGACGGGGGAGUAACACGUGGAUAACCUACCUAUAAGACUGGGAUAACUUCGGGAAACCGGAGCUAAUACCGGAUAAUAUUUUGAACAGCAUGGUUCAAAAGUGAAAGACGGUCUUGCUGUCACUUAUAGAUUGAUCCGCGCUGCAUUAGCUAGUUGGUAAGGUAACGGCUUACCAAGGCAACGAUGCAUAGCCGACCUGAGAGGGUGAUCGGCCACCCGGGAACUGAGACACGGUCCAGACUCCUACGGGAGGCAGCAGUAGGGAAUCCUCCGCAAUGGGCGAAAGCCUGACGGAGCAACGCCGCGUGAGUGAUGAAGGUCUUCGGAUCGUAAAACUCUGUUAUUAGGGAAGAACAUAUGUGUAAGUAACUGUGCACAUCUUGACGGUACCUAAUCAGAAAGCCACGGCUAACUACGUG
This 497-nucleotide ribosomal RNA is filed under the name uncultured bacterium. RNAcentral describes it as "partial 16S ribosomal RNA". It matches the Rfam family "Bacterial small subunit ribosomal RNA", at positions 28 to 507 of the family's 1533-position model. The record is from RNAcentral.